Molecule: long non-coding RNA, 432 nt
Organism: Sardina pilchardus (European sardine)
Lineage: Eukaryota; Metazoa; Chordata; Actinopteri; Clupeiformes; Clupeidae
Exons: 3
Source: RefSeq, a predicted model, not a curated record
UUGAUAUCGUUUAUUAUAGGCCUAUUGCUAUUCACUCUACUAUAGUCUGACCAACUGUUUGAAUUUGUUGACUGCGCAAUUGACUAUUGUUUUUGUUUUUGCCAAGUAGGCUUCCAUACCCAUAACUGGAGGACUGCACCCAGAGAAUGUCACAGCGUGUCACGUCCCCUCCCCUAAAACGAUUUAUAGUUUAGUUUAUGGAUUAUAAUAGUCGCCUCGAUGAACACGAAGUAUAAAAUAUUCUUGGCUAUGUAAAAUACAGCUCCACCUAGCAGAAGAAAUCAGAUCACCAAGUUGUGUGUCCAAGAAGAGUGACCAGUCCAUGGAUCCAUCACUCCUCCACUCUGGAGAAGGAAGUGUUCCUGCUGGUCAGAGCUCCAUCCAGCAGAAGAGAUCACCCUCUCCUGUACUGAGUUGCCGGUCCAUGGAACC